RNAcentral lists this ribosomal RNA (443 nucleotides) under uncultured bacterium. RNAcentral describes it as "partial 16S ribosomal RNA". It matches the Rfam family "Bacterial small subunit ribosomal RNA", at positions 338 to 795 of the family's 1533-position model. The record is from RNAcentral.
CCUACGGGAGGCAGCCGUGGGGAAUAUUGGGCAAUGGGCGCAAGCCUGACCCAGCAACGCCGCGUGAAGGAAGAAGGCUUUCGGGUUGUACACUUCUUUUGUCAGGGACGAAGCAAGUGACGGUACCUGACGCAUAAGCCACGGCUAACUACGUGCCAGCAGCCGCGGUAAUACGUAGGUGGCAAGCGUUAUCCGGAUUUAUUGGGUGUAAAGUGCGUGUAGGCGGGAAUGCAAGUCAGAUGUGAAAACUAUGGGCUCAACCCAUAGCCUGCAUUUGAAACUGUAUUUCUUGAGUGCUGGAGAGGCAAUCGGAAUUCCGGGUGUAGCGGUGAAAUGCGUAGAUAUACGGAGGAACACCAGUGGCGAAGGCGGAUUGCUGGACAGUAACUGACGCUGAGGCGCGAAAGCGUGGGGAGCAAACAGGAUUAGAUACCCGGGUAGUC